CACUGGUUAAGAGCUGGUGCACUCUUCUGAUGAGUCUAAGAUAGGACGAAACCAGUG
RNAcentral lists this non-coding RNA (57 nucleotides) under Helianthus annuus (common sunflower). The record is from RNAcentral. Lineage: Eukaryota; Viridiplantae; Streptophyta; Magnoliopsida; Asterales; Asteraceae.